GAUUAAAUGUCCAGCAAACGACGGCAGUGUUGCCAGAUUCCUUUUAGCGGGAAUUUUAAAAUUUUAUAGCAGUUUGGUUUUAAAUUUGACAGUUCUGUUUUCUCAAGUCAAAAAUCUUAACCUUACUUUUACAAGUGAUUAGGAUUAUUAUUAUUAUUAUUUUAUUUACAUGUAAAUUGAAACAAUAAAUAUUGUACUGUGUCAUAAUUUCAAACUCAUUAUGUUGCAGUCUUUUCCAGUUGAUAAAAUUGCAAUUCAAAAACUUUUAGAUUUGCACUGUAUGGAUGGCACAGGAAGAGUACAAGAACAUGAAACAUCUUAUUAUGAAUGUAUAUGUAUGUGAUCCUCAAAAAAUUAUUUUACAAAACAAGAUAGAGAAAGAGCUUUAAAAUCCCAAGGAUCCUGCAAAAUGUUUAUUUGGUGUACUAGUCGAAUAAUAGUAUCUAAAAAUAUUGAAACUAUUUUAAAACACAUUACGCGCAUGAGGAUGAUAUAGAGCACUUACAUAAAUACCAAAAUCAGAUAAAUAUCUCUUCAAAGUUUAUUUUGAGACUUUCUUCAAAAAUCAAACUUCAGACUGUUCAGGAGAGCAUAAUAGCAUAGGAGGCGAAUUAAAAAGAAUUAAUUUACUUACAAGAAAAGAUAUCACAAACAUUAAACUCUCUUAUGGCAUUGAUUUGAAAGAUGGAUAUAUGUACAAUGAUGAUGCAACCAGUGUUUAUUUUUGGGUUGAAUGCUUACAGACUCAUGUCCAAUAUUAUUUUACAAACAACAGGGCAUACUAAUGGAUAUUCAUUCUGAAUUUAACAUUUAUGAUUUUUGUCUUAUUUUCCUUAAUACUGUGCCAAAAGGAAAUGUUAAUUAAGUUUGGUAAAUCCUUUAUCGCAAUCGAUGGAACUCAUGGGCUCAAUUCCUAUGACUUUGAACUUAUGACAGUAUUAGUGAAAGAUGAAUUUGGGAAUGGAUUUUGUACUGCUUUCUUAUUUUCAAAUAGAAAAGAUAACUACUUUAAUUGACCAAUUUUUUUAAAUACAUGUCUGUGUUGGUAUUAUAUGUAUAGUCAAAUGUUUUCAUAUCAGGCAUAAGCGACACCUUUUACAAUGCCUCGUCAAAUGUAAUGGGUAUUGCUCCUAAUAGACUGUUAAGUGCCUGGCACAUAGAUAGGGCAUGGUAAGUAAAUCUUAAUAAAAUAUCUGAUUCUGAAAAAAAUCCUAUUAUGUAUACAAGAUGUAUUAAUGAUGGUUUAGAGAGUAUUAAUAGCUUUUUGGGUAGACUUUUAAGUGAUGCAAAUACAUACAAUUUUAGUAAGUAUUUCCAGUAGAACUACUGCAAUAACAUCCAACAAUGCGCCUAUUGUUAUAGGAAGGGGUUGUGGAAUUAAUACCAAUAUAUGACCAUUCAAAAUUUUCAUAAAAUUUUGGAUAAAAGGGUAUCCAUUAGUUGUUAUCAGUUAAGUUUAAAACUUGGCACUCAUGGAGAGCUAUACCAUAAUAUAUAAUAGGUAUAUCUCAUAAUAUUACAUCUCAUAUUGUUCACUACAGUAGUAAUGAGUGAGCCUGCAUACACAGAACCAUAAUAAUAUAUUAUAGUU
RNAcentral lists this long non-coding RNA (1591 nucleotides) under Diabrotica virgifera virgifera (western corn rootworm). RNAcentral's name for it is "uncharacterized LOC126878957". The record is from RNAcentral. Lineage: Eukaryota; Metazoa; Arthropoda; Insecta; Coleoptera; Chrysomelidae.